Molecule: small nuclear RNA, 160 nt
Organism: Suncus etruscus (white-toothed pygmy shrew)
Lineage: Eukaryota; Metazoa; Chordata; Mammalia; Eulipotyphla; Soricidae
Product: U1 spliceosomal RNA
Exons: 1
Source: RefSeq, a predicted model, not a curated record
AUACUUAACUGGCAGGGGAGAUACCAUGAUCAUGAAGGGGGUUUUCCCAGGGUGAGGUUUAUCCAUUACACUCCGGAUGUGCUGACCCCUGAGAUUUUCCAAAAUGUGGGAAAUUUGACUAUAAUUUGUGGAGGCAGGAGACUGCAUUUGCACUCUCACC